GUAGUGUGCUUUUAGAACCUGCCAGAGGAGCUCCAGCAUUGGGACCAUGUGCCCCAUUCAUCGUAAUCAGGGUCCUAUAUCCACUGAGUUUUCCAUCUCAGGACAGCUGAUGAGGCAAGAAAUGUGUUGUUGCUAGUUCCCAAGCUGCUGGGGCUGUUGGGAAGCAGUAUCACAAAACCUUCUAUGCAAACUACGCAUCUUUUGCUUAGUGCUGGGCCAAGUGGACCUUGGCUAACGGUAUUCCAUAGCUGUCAGAAAGGCUUUCUGGUUUUCUCCCAGCUCCACCAGGAUACAUCUCUGACCCCCUCUUCUGGACCCUCCCGUGGACUUGGAGGAAUGAGGCCCAGAAGCUCCUCAGCAGAUAGGUAGCUG
Molecule: long non-coding RNA, 372 nt
Filed under: Homo sapiens (human)
Lineage: Eukaryota; Metazoa; Chordata; Mammalia; Primates; Hominidae
Description: HSALNT0014716
Source: RNAcentral